This 1063-nucleotide ribosomal RNA is filed under the name uncultured Acidobacteriota bacterium. RNAcentral describes it as "bacterial SSU rRNA". It matches the Rfam family "Bacterial small subunit ribosomal RNA", at positions 430 to 1498 of the family's 1533-position model. The record is from RNAcentral. Lineage: Bacteria; Pseudomonadati; Acidobacteriota.
CCCCUUUCGACCCGGACGAAUACCUCGUAAGGGGGGGUGACGGUACGGGUAUAAGAAGCCCCGGCUAACUACGUGCCAGCAGCGCGGUAAGACGUGGGGGGCCAGCGUGUCGGAAUUACUGGGUGUAAAGGGUCAGUAGGCGGUGUGGCAAGUUGGGAGUGAAAUCUAUGGGCUCAACCCAUAGGCUGCUUCCAAGACUGCUGUGCUUGAGUGUGGGAGAGGCGCGUGGAAUUGCAGGUGUAGCGGUGAAAUGCGUAGAUAUCUGCAGGAACACCCGUGGCGAAAGCGGCGCGCUGGACCACAACUGACGCUGAAUGACGAAAGCUAGGGGAGCAAACAGGAUUAGAUACCCUGGUAGUCCUAGCCCUAAACGAUCAGGACUUGGGGUGCCGCCCGUUCGGGCGUCGUCCCGGAGCUAACGCGUUAAGUCCUGCACCUGGGGAGUACGGUCGCAAGACUGAAACUCAAAGGAAUUGACGGGGGCCCGCACAAGCGGUGGAACAUGUGGUUCAAUUCGACGCUACGCGAGGAACCUUACCUGGGCUCGAAAUGCUUCUGACAAGCUGUAGAAAUACGGCCUUCCCGCAAGGGACAGGAGUAUAGGCGCUGCAUGGCUGUCGUCAGCUCGUGCCGUGAGGUGUUGGGUUAAGUCCCGCAACGAGCGCAACCCCUGCACGUAGUUGCCACUCCGCAAGGAGGGAACUCUACGUGGACUGCUCCGGAUAACGGAGAGGAAGGUGGGGAUGACGUCAAGUCCGCAUGGCCUUUAUGUCCAGGGCUACACACGUGUUACAAUGCAGGGUACAAACCGUUGCCAACCCGCGAGGGGGAGCUAAUCGGAAAAAACUCUGCUCAGUUCGGAUUGCAGUCUGCAACUCGACUGCAUGAAGCCGGAAUCGCUAGUAAUGGCGUAUCAGAUCGACGCCGUGAAUACGUUCCCGGGCCUUGUACACACCGCCCGUCACAUCACGAAAGUGAGUUGUACUAGAAGUCGCCACGCUAACCGCAAGGGGGCAGGCGCCCAAGGUAUGACCCAUGAUUGGGGUGAAGUCGUAACAAGGUA